AGCUUUGCUUAGUGGCAGUAUCUUAGCCAAUGAGAUUUAUCUGAGGUGUGAUUAUUGCUAAUUGAAAACUUUUCCCAAUACCCCGCCGUGACGACUUGAAAUAUAGUCAGCACUGGCAAUAUUUGACGGUCUCUACGGAGA
This is a small nuclear RNA of Eptesicus fuscus (big brown bat), 141 nucleotides long. RefSeq annotates it as U4 spliceosomal RNA. The transcript has a single exon. NCBI's taxonomy places the organism in Eukaryota, Metazoa, Chordata, Mammalia, Chiroptera, Vespertilionidae. The record is from RefSeq and is a predicted model, not a curated record.